This 491-nucleotide ribosomal RNA is filed under the name uncultured bacterium. RNAcentral describes it as "bacterial SSU rRNA". It matches the Rfam family "Bacterial small subunit ribosomal RNA", at positions 15 to 518 of the family's 1533-position model. The record is from RNAcentral.
GAUCAUGGCUCAGGACGAACGCUGGCGGCGUGCUUAACACAUGCAAGUCGAACGGAAAGGCCCUGCUUUGUGGGGUGCUCGAGUGGCGAACGGGUGAGUAACACGUGAGUAACCUGCCCUUGACUUUGGGAUAACUUCAGGAAACUGGGGCUAAUACCGGAUAGGAGCUCCUGCUGCAUGGUGGGGGUUGGAAAGUUUCGGCGGUUGGGGAUGGACUCGCGGCUUAUCAGCUUGUCGGUGGGGUAGUGGCUUACCAAGGCUUUGACGGAUAGCCGGCCUGAGAGGGUGACCGGCCACAUUGGGACUGAGAUACGGCCCAGACUCCUACGGGAGGCAGCAGUGGGGAAUAUUGCACAAUGGGCGGAAGCCUGAUGCAGCAACGCCGCGUGCGGGAUGACGGCCUUCGGGUUGUAAACCGCUUUCGCCUGUGACGAAGCGUGAGUGACGGUAAUGGGUAAAGAAGCACCGGCUAACUACGUGCCAGCCGCCGC